AUGAACUCGUGGGACGCGGGCCUGGCGGGGCUGCUGGUGGGCACGAUGGGCGUCUCGCUGCUGUCCAACGCGCUGGUGCUGCUCUGCCUGCUGCAUAGCGCCGACAUCCGCCGGCAGGCGCCGGCGCUCUUCACCCUGAACCUCACGUGCGGCAACCUGCUGUGCACCGUGGUCAACAUGCCGCUCACGCUGGCCGGCGUCGUGGCCCAGCGGCCGCCGGCCGGGGACCGCCUGUGCCGCCUGGCCGCCUUCCUCGACACCUUCCUGGCCGCCAACUCCAUGCUCAGCAUGGCCGCGCUCAGCAUCGACCGCUGGGUGGCCGUGGUCUUCCCGCUGAGCUACCGCGCCAAGAUGCGCCUCCGCGACGCCGCGCUCAUGGUGGCCUACACGUGGCUGCACGCGCUCACCUUCCCGGCCGCCGCGCUCGCCCUGUCCUGGCUCGGCUUCCACCAGCUCUACGCGUCCUGCACGCUCUGCAGCCGGCGGCCCGACGAGCGCCUGCGCUUCGCCGUCUUCACGGGCGUCUUCCACGCGCUCAGCUUCCUGCUCUCCUUCGUCGUGCUCUGCUGCACAUAUUGCAAGGUGCUCAAGGUGGCCCGCUUCCACUGCAAGCGCAUCGACGUGAUCACCAUGCAGACGCUGGUGCUGCUGGUGGACAUCCACCCCAGUGUGCGGGAACGCUGUCUGGAGGAGCAGAAGAGGCGGCGGCAGCGAGCCAGCAGGAAGAUCAGCACCUUCAUAGGCACUUUCCUCGUAUGCUUUGCGCCCUACGUGAUCACCAGGCUGGUGGAGCUGUCUUCUGCAGUACCCAUCAGCGCCCACUGGGGGGUGCUGUCCAAGUGCUUGGCCUACAGCAAGGCCGCGUCCGACCCCUUCGUGUACUCCUUACUGCGACACCAGUACCGCAAGAGCUGCAAGGAGAUCCUGAACAGGGUCCUCCACCGGCGAUCGCUCCGCUCCUCCGGCCUCACCCGGGACUCCCACAGCCAGAACAUUCUGCCGGUCUCCGAGUGAAGCACGUUGCUCCGCUGGAGAGCUUGGAAGGAGGCGGCUGGUGAGAAGAAGGGAAGGGCGGGGCUCGGGUCGCCUGGGUGGACACGGCCAGCCGCCGCCACCUCCAAGCCUAGGGAUGCUGGACCCUUGGCUUGGGGCGGCUCUGAAGCCUGGUUCCUGGUGCCUGCAGGGCAGACGUUGAACUGCCCGUUUAUCACCAAAGGAUGACCAAGGCACGUGCUGUGUGCUCUCGCUUUUCUUUCUGAGAAGCUCCUUUGAGCUCCGAGACUCAGCAGAGACUCCCCAGGAGUCGCUCCCAGUGCGGUCAUGAUCAAGGACACACAGUGCUGGUGGAAGGUGGGGAAGCAUGGUGUCCACCUGCUUGCUAACCCUGGGACCGUUGGGCUUCAUGCUGAAAAGUGGUGACCUCCGUGGGGCAUCAGUCACCCCGAGAGCGAGGUUGGCAGUGGCCGUUUGCCCCACGUCUAGCAUGGCCACAUGCAGUGGUGGCUGCUUUAAUCCAAAUAUUAUUCAGCUGGUACUAACUCAUUAUGCUCAGCUGGGACCUUGGCCCCCAAGCCCAAGGGGAAAAUGUUUAACAGCCAGUGUUACCCAACUGUGGCUGACAAGCUGCGUUAGACAUGGUUAUAUUGGAUUCAACUUUUCUCUCUUUCUUCCCUCCCCCUGCCCCAAAGCUAACGUGUGUGUGUGUAGACAACCUUAGCAUGAAAAUGGUUUUCAAUAGGCAGGUACUGCAUAUAAUAAUGUUCUUUGAAGUCUGACCCGAAGUCAUCUUCUUCUGAUUCACAUGUCAUAACUAUUGGAGCCAAGAAGAUGGAGGAACGUGCCUGGCAGGUCCCCAAACCCUGGUCUGUGACUUGAAUUCGCAGGAAGCAUUUCACCUUGUCUCACAUGUCUUGUCCAGCAUGUUCUUUGAGAUACUCUUUGGGCAGCGGAGGAGUAGUGACCCAGUGGCUGAGGUCAAUAGUCAGAUUCAAACAAUCAAGUAAGUUUUCGUCAAUGUCAGGUUGGAGGAAUAACUGUCAACUUCUCUUCCUGCUUGCUCUGUGCAAGCAACAAAUUAUACUCCCAGAAGCAACUUGAUCCCUUUCACCUCUUCUUUAGCUAAAAAAUAAGAUCUGUCACCUAUAAUGUCACAUAUCUUGAGAAGAGGCAUUUUGUAAUUUAUACUAAACCUUAGGACUGCCAAUAAACCAACAGAACCAGUUGUUUUGGCAUCAUGGUGACAGUCCCCCAAAUAUGCCAGCUGAUUGGGUAUUUUCAUUAUUAUUAGGACACAGGUAUCAAAACCCAAGGAGAAGUGAGAAGAAAAUCACUUCAUUAGUGAUCAACACCCACCAACUCUGCUAGGAUUACUUUUAGAUAAAUGUUUAUAUUCAUCUAUAUACAGUCUAUAAAAUUUCCCCGGCUUCAUUAUUCCCAAGAGAAUUAUCUACCUCAUUUGGUAAUUUAUCAAAUGUCACAUGGAUUUCUCAGGUAAAACACUUAGGAAGGUCCAGAUCAGCAUCUCUGUCAAGGGCCUGGGAUGACUUCCUUGACAGCAGCCCAGCGGAUGGCUUGAUGUUGAAGGCCUGAGUGCUGUUGGAGAGCUGGGCUCGGUGUGAAAGCGUUUUAAGAAGCCGGAGAACAGAGCCUAGAAUGGAGAGGAUCUCAGAUCCUAAACCCACACUACAGGGCUCAGUUCCUAGCCCACCGUGCUCUGAACUUGUAGGUUUAAACUCCACCCACGAUGACUUUCUCAGUCACUCUGCGACUCCAGCUUUUCUUUAUGCUGCUUCUUGAAGGAGGGGAUUUCAGAGCCCUGGGACCCGCUGAGGGGUGAGGGUCAUGGCUUUGGGGGUUUCUGUGUCUUAUGGUCAGCCGACCCCCCAAAGAUGUUUCCCUGAGAGCCUGCCUGCUUUUCCGGAGACGUCACGGCGGCGGGGGAGGAGGGGAAGUUGCUUUGACUCUUCUCACACCAACUGGACCUUCCUUCUAGGACUCAGCUUAGCCUUCUGUCACCGUGAGCAAUAAACCUCUGUCCUCAUGUUUGUGAAA
Odocoileus virginianus texanus is the source of this 3051-nucleotide non-coding RNA. NCBI's taxonomy places the organism in Eukaryota, Metazoa, Chordata, Mammalia, Artiodactyla, Cervidae. The record is from RefSeq and is a predicted model, not a curated record.